This 99-nucleotide non-coding RNA is filed under the name Bacillus sp. CECT 9360. Its description in RNAcentral is "TPP". It matches the Rfam family "TPP riboswitch aptamer (THI element)". Rfam says of the family: Vitamin B(1) in its active form thiamin pyrophosphate (TPP) is an essential coenzyme that is synthesised by coupling of pyrimidine and thiazole moieties in bacteria. The previously detected thiamin-regulatory element, thi box was extended, resulting in a new, highly conserved RNA secondary structure, the THI element, which is widely distributed in eubacteria and also occurs in some archaea. Lineage: Bacteria; Bacillati; Bacillota; Bacilli; Caryophanales; Bacillaceae. The record is from RNAcentral.
UUUAGCUGCUGGGGGAGCCGUUUGGCUGAGAAAUCGAUGAUUAAACCCUUUGCACCUGAUCUGGUUUAUACCAGCGUAGGGAAGCAGGCUGAGACGAGG